AAUAGAUACCCAGGUAGUCCACGCCGUAAACGAUGAGUGCUAAGUGUUAGAGGGUUUCCGCCCUUUAGUGCUGCAGCUAACGCAUUAAGCACUCCGCCUGGGGAGUACGGCCGCAAGGCUGAAACUCAAAGGAAUUGACGGGGGCCCGCACAAGCGGUGGAGCAUGUGGUUUAAUUCGAAGCAACGCGAAGAACCUUACCAGGUCUUGACAUCCUCUGCCAACCCUAGAGAUAGGGCGUUCCCCUUCGGGGGACAGAGUGACAGGUGGUGCAUGGUUGUCGUCAGCUCGUGUCGUGAGAUGUUGGGUUAAGUCCCGCAACGAGCGCAACCCUUGAUCUUAGUUGCCAGCAUUCAGUUGGGCACUCUAAGGUGACUGCCGGUGACAAACCGGAGGAAGGUGGGGAUGACGUCAAAUCAUCAUGCCCCUUAUGACCUGGGCUACACACGUGCUACAAUGGAUGGUACAAAGAGCUGCGAACCCGCGAGGGUAAGCCAAUCUCAUAAAGCCAUUCUCAGUUCGGAUUGGUAC
This 529-nucleotide ribosomal RNA is filed under the name uncultured bacterium. RNAcentral's name for it is "bacterial SSU rRNA". It matches the Rfam family "Bacterial small subunit ribosomal RNA", at positions 777 to 1304 of the family's 1533-position model. The record is from RNAcentral.